RNAcentral lists this ribosomal RNA (639 nucleotides) under uncultured organism. RNAcentral's name for it is "bacterial SSU rRNA". It matches the Rfam family "Bacterial small subunit ribosomal RNA", at positions 527 to 1174 of the family's 1533-position model. The record is from RNAcentral.
GGAGGGUGCAAGCGUUAUCCGGAUUUAUUGGGUUUAAAGGGUCCGUAGGCGGAUCAUUAAGUCAGUGGUGAAAGCCGACAGCUCAACUGUCGAACUGCCAUUGAUACUGGUGAUCUUGAGUACGGUUGAAGUAGGCGGAAUAUGACAUGUAGCGGUGAAAUGCUUAGAUAUGUCAUAGAACACCGAUUGCGAAGGCAGCCUACUAAGCCGUUACUGACGCUGAGGGACGAAAGUGUGGGGAGCGAACAGGAUUAGAUACCCUGGUAGUCCACACCGUAAACGAUGAUUACUCGGUAUUGGCUUUAUUGUCAGUGCCCAAGCGAAAGUGAUAAGUAAUCCACCUGGGGAGUACGGCCGCAAGGUUGAAACUCAAAGGAAUUGACGGGGGCCCGCACAAGCGGUGGAGCAUGUGGUUUAAUUCGAUGAUACGCGAGGAACCUUACCAGGGCUUAAAUGUAGAACGACCGGGGUGGAAACACCCCCUUUUUCGAACGGUCUACAAGGUGCUGCAUGGUUGUCGUCAGCUCGUGCUGUGAAGUGUCGGGUUAAGUCCCAUAACGAGCGCAACCCCUAUUUCUAGUUGCCAGCGGUUCGGCCGGGGACUCUAGAGAAACUGCCAGCGUAAGCUGUGAGGAAGGU